GCCCGUGGUUGUGUAGGUGACAUUGGCGACCAGACACGUUGUCAUCGAGGUGCCCGUGGUUGUGUAGGUGACAUUGGCGACCAGACACGUUGUCAUCGAGGUGCCCGUGGUUGUGUAGGUGACAUUGGGGACCAGACAUGUUUGUCAAUGUGUUUAUCUGUAUUGAAUCAUCAGAAUACUACUACUAGUAAUAAUUAGAGAAGCAGAAUGAAUGGAUGCCCUCUAGGUCGCCUCAUUCCUUUGUCCAUGCACACGCACGCACACACACAUAGACACACACACUUCCAUCG
Long non-coding RNA from Oncorhynchus tshawytscha (Chinook salmon), 290 nucleotides. NCBI's taxonomy places the organism in Eukaryota, Metazoa, Chordata, Actinopteri, Salmoniformes, Salmonidae. The record is from Ensembl.